Molecule: ribosomal RNA, 647 nt
Filed under: fungal endophyte
Lineage: Eukaryota; Fungi
Description: eukaryotic LSU rRNA
Rfam family: 5.8S ribosomal RNA (bases 278-431)
Source: RNAcentral
AAGUCGUAACAAGGUUUCCGUAGGUGAACCUGCGGAAGGAUCAUUACUGAAAUGUAAUAACUUCUAUUGAAAGGUUCCAGAGUAGGCGCUACAACGCCGAAAUGACCUUCUCACCCUUGUGUACUCACUAUGUUGCUUUGGCGGGUCGACCUGGUUCCGACCCAGGCGGCCGGCGCCCCCAGCCUUAACUGGCCAGGACGCCCGGCUAAGUGCCCGCCAGUAUACAAAACUCAAGAAUUCAUUUUGUGAAGUCCUGAUAUAUCAUUUAAUUGAUUAAAACUUUCAACAACGGAUCUCUUGGUUCUGGCAUCGAUGAAGAACGCAGCGAAAUGCGAUAAGUAAUGUGAAUUGCAGAAUUCAGUGAAUCAUCGAAUCUUUGAACGCACAUUGCGCCCUCUGGUAUUCCGGAGGGCAUGCCUGUUCGAGCGUCAUUUCAACCCUCAAGCUCUGCUUGGUAUUGGGCAACGUCCGCUGCCGGACGUGCCUUGAAGACCUCGGCGACGGCGUCCUAGCCUCGAGCGUAGUAGUAAAAUAUCUCGCUUUGGAGUGCUGGGCGACGGCCGCCGGACAAUCGACCUUCGGUCUAUUUUUCCAAGGUUGACCUCGGAUCAGGUAGGGAUACCCGCUGAACUUAAGCAUAUCAAUAA